UACGUAGGGGGCAAGCGUUGUCCGGAUUUAUUGGGCGUAAAGAGCGUGUAGGCGGUUUGGUAGGUCCGCUGUGAAAACUCGAGGCUCAACCUCGAGACGCCGGUGGAAACCAUCAGACUAGAGUCCGGAAGAGGAGAGUGGAAUUCCUGGUGUAGCGGUGAAAUGCGCAGAUAUCGGGAGGAACACCGGUGGCGAAGGCGGCGAUCUGGGUAGAUACUGACGCUGAGGUGCGAAAGCGUGGGGAGCAAACAGG
This 253-nucleotide ribosomal RNA is filed under the name uncultured bacterium. RNAcentral's name for it is "partial 16S ribosomal RNA". It matches the Rfam family "Bacterial small subunit ribosomal RNA", at positions 524 to 776 of the family's 1533-position model. The record is from RNAcentral.